UAGGCUCGCCGGAAUCGGUCGUCCGCCCGUUCUCUCCUGAUACGCGUCGGUCGGAUGAGGGUGGGGCACAGCCGGCGGCGGAGAAGGCUUUAUCUGAUGUUGAGUUCUCCGGGGGGGUCCUGCACCAUGUUCAGCUCGGGCGGUGGCGAUGUGGCUGUCGGACGCGCCCAUGGCGCGGCGCUGCCCGUCGUCUCGCAGUACAAUCUUUAUUUGUCAAUGUUCAUAAAUGACAAGAGGGCCGCAAGCAUCAGACGAGCGGGCGGCAGUGGUUGAUCGUGUGCCGGCACUUGAAGCUGCCAUACGAGGGUUCGCUGACAGGGGGACUGAUGUGGUUGUCAACCCGGUGCUUGGCACAAUUUUCGAUUCUAUGCCGGAGGCAUAUGAAUUCUACAAUCUUAUUCUCGUCGCUGGUUAAUUUCCCUGGUUAAUUUUCGUUGACAAAAGAGCUUGAAUUGCUAGUAAAAAUAACCACCGGAGUUGCAUGAUUAGGUUCUUUCUGUCCAA
Molecule: non-coding RNA, 504 nt
Organism: Triticum urartu
Lineage: Eukaryota; Viridiplantae; Streptophyta; Magnoliopsida; Poales; Poaceae
Source: RefSeq, a predicted model, not a curated record